RNAcentral lists this ribosomal RNA (819 nucleotides) under Apiospora phyllostachydis. RNAcentral's name for it is "Arthrinium phyllostachium partial large subunit ribosomal RNA". It matches the Rfam family "Eukaryotic large subunit ribosomal RNA", at positions 71 to 918 of the family's 3401-position model. The record is from RNAcentral. Lineage: Eukaryota; Fungi; Ascomycota; Sordariomycetes; Amphisphaeriales; Apiosporaceae.
GGGAUUCCCCUAGUAACGGCGAGUGAAGCGGGAACAGCUCAAAUUUGAAAUCUGGCCCUUGGGUCCGAGUUGUAAUUUGCAGAGGAUGCUUUUGGUGCGGUGCCUUCCGAGUUCCCUGGAACGGGACGCCUUAGAGGGUGAGAGCCCCGUACGGUUGGCCACCAAGCCUGUGUAAAGCUCCUUCGACGAGUCGAGUAGUUUGGGAAUGCUGCUCAAAAUGGGAGGUAUAUUUCUUCUAAAGCUAAAUACUGGCCAGAGACCGAUAGCGCACAAGUAGAGUGAUCGAAAGAUGAAAAGCACUUUGAAAAGAGGGUUAAAUAGCACGUGAAAUUGUUGAAAGGGAAGGAUUUAUGACCAGACUUUUUCUGGGGGGAUCAUCCGGUGUUCUCACCGGUGCACUUCCCCCAGUGGAGGCCAGCAUCGGUUUCGGCCGGGGGAUAAAAGCUUCGGGAAUGUGGCUCCUUCGGGAGUGUUAUAGCCCGUUGCAUAAUACCCUGGCGGGGACCGAGGUUCGCGCAUUGCAAGGAUGCUGGCGUAAUGGUUAUUAAUCACCCGUCUUGAAACACGGACCAAGGAGUCGAACAUUUGUGCGAGUGUUUGGGUGUUAAACCCUCACGCGUAAUGAAAGUGAACGGAGGUGAGAGCCCCUCGGGGUGCAUCAUCGACCGAUCCUGAUGUCUUCGGAUGGAUUUGAGUAAGAGCAUAACUGUUCGGACCCGAAAGAUGGUGAACUAUGCGUGGAUAGGGUGAAGCCAGAGGAAACUCUGGUGGAGGCUCGCAGCGGUUCUGACGUGCAAAUCGAUCGUCAAAUCUGCGCAU